GGCCCGUUGGUCAAGCGGUUAAGACACCGCCCUUUCACGGCGGUAACAUGGGUUCAAAUCCCAUACGGGUCA
RNAcentral lists this transfer RNA (72 nucleotides) under Caryophanales bacterium. Its description in RNAcentral is "Bacillales bacterium (anaerobic digester metagenome) tRNA-Glu". It matches the Rfam family "tRNA". From Rfam's summary of the family: Transfer RNA (tRNA) molecules are approximately 80 nucleotides in length. Their secondary structure includes four short double-helical elements and three loops (D, anti-codon, and T loops). Further hydrogen bonds mediate the characteristic L-shaped molecular structure. tRNAs have two regions of fundamental functional importance: the anti-codon, which is responsible for specific mRNA codon recognition, and the 3' end, to which the tRNAs corresponding amino acid is attached (by aminoacyl-tRNA synthetases). tRNAs cope with the degeneracy of the genetic code in two manners: having more than one tRNA (with a specific anti-codon) for a particular amino acid; and 'wobble' base-pairing, i.e. permitting non-standard base-pairing at the 3rd anti-codon position. The record is from RNAcentral. Lineage: Bacteria; Bacillati; Bacillota; Bacilli; Caryophanales.